Long non-coding RNA from Physella acuta, 228 nucleotides. RefSeq lists it as uncharacterized. NCBI's taxonomy places the organism in Eukaryota, Metazoa, Mollusca, Gastropoda, Physidae. The record is from RefSeq and is a predicted model, not a curated record.
CACCAGGGCAUAAGCGUCUGCUCUGAGCUAGAUUGGAAAUGCUGCUGUCGCCGGAAAGAUGAUGAUAUUGAAUCGAAUAGACAUAGUCUAGCAAGAGAGGAAACAGUAGCAAGACUUCCAUCUAUACUAAAAAAACCUAGGGACGACUACUCGUAUCCAUCAACAUGGCGCCAAAAUUAUGAUUGGGAGAAAAAUACUUAUCAUCCUGCAAAUUACAGCGGAUAUCAG